GGAAGAAAGAAGAAAAAACAAUAGAAAAAAAAAGUAAAUAGAUGCUAAGGAGGUUUCUCCUCUCCAAGCACUCAUCUGGCAUUCCUACAAGGCUGAUUCCUAUAAGUCCUGAGGUCUGCUGAAGUAAAAAAACACCAGAAAUCAACUGAGAAAGCACAGAACUGCCUGCCCCCAGUGUCUUGGCCUCACAUCACUCCACUCGUGAAUUUGGAAGCAGCAUCCUGAAGCCUGGCUGCCUGGCUGCUAUAGCCCAUAACCAGCCAGCUCAAAAGAAUAGGAACACUCAAGCAUAACUGGUGAAAGAUGAAAGCCACCUUCUCCUUUCCACCCUCUCAUCUCCCAUUGCAAAUGUAUCGAUUCAGAAAGCAAAACAAACAUCACAUUAAGUAUUAGCAAGCAGCAUACAAGCACCUCUAUUUCAUCUUUAAGGCAAGAAGUAUAAGGAAGUAAGAUAUUAGAAUUUGUUUUUUAAAAAGAUUACCUCAGUUUACCUCAUUGAAAAAUGCUACCUGGAAAGAAAAGCCAGUUUGGAUCAGGACAGCUUUUCACAGGCUGCUCUCUAACUUACUCUGCUAGAGCAAACCCGUCCUGCUUUCCUUUAUUUCCAAGGUAAGGAAAAACGGCAUUAACCCAUAUAACAGACUGGCAGCAACAGAAACUGUUCUGCCCAAACAAUAACAGUGCCUGCUAGCAAACAGCCCCAGGAUAUCCCUAGAAAGGCACUCAACCCCUGCGAGCCCCAUCAGACCGAGGAGCACUCCCCCACACCCCCACCCACGAAGAAGGAAGGCACUGCCCUGACCUUGCUGCUCCUCAGCCAUUGCCCACGGCAGCACUGAGUGACACUCCACACCUGGAGGGCAGCCCUGCCGCAGGUGUUAUAGCCCAGGGCCAGGGGGCCCCUCAGCAGCUGCUUUAAAGGAGCAGAGCUGUGAAGGGAAGGAAGAAGGCGUUCUUAGUGGCCUUGUUUUUUUCAUUUGUUUGUUUGUUUGUUCUCAGUGAAGUAGCUAAUCCAAUAGUUAACAAGCACCUGAACUCUCCAGUUAAAAUUUUCUGAUGUCAAUCAGUAAAGUAAAGCAGCUUUUUUAAUAGCAUCAGACCAACAUCCUUUGUGCAGCACCCUGAAUUACCAGUGUUGACAAUUCAAGACUUUCUAUCACGCAGCUUUUCCUAUGUCCUGGGACCCCUGGGACUCUGCUGAGUUCAUCAGAGGGUCAGGGCCUAAAUGAGAUUCUGGAUUGUAUGAGUUGUUUUUUGUACGAAAGAGAACAGAACUGCCUGGCAAUUGCUCUGCAAGACACGGCAUCUGUGCUUGGUCCUGCUGCCCCCCCCCCCCCAUCCACUCAGCAACAGCCAAAAUUAACACAAAACCAACUAAAUACCAAGCAAGGUGAGCACAGCGUGCUGGUUGUGGCAAGGAAUUGCCUUAGCAAUCCUAUUAGCAUAGACAGGACACUGUUUCUGCAAUAAAAUAAGGGCUGGUUGCUAAGUGACAACAACGUGCUUGUCUAUCCUAACAUUUACAAACUCAAAACUUAAAACUAAAAGGAAAAAUAGAAAGGAAAAAAGCACAUACGCAGCUCUUGCACCUUCAAAGCAGAAAAAAAAUAAUCUGGACGUCCACAAAUAAUCUAGAUUUUUUUAAAUUGCCGUUGUAUUUCACAUAGAAAAGGUUCAGCUAGUGUAGCUAUGGACAGCAUUGUGAAAUUCUAAUAUACUGACACAAAAAAAGGCGGUUAAAAGCAAUGCAUGGAAAACCCACUUGAAAGUCUUGAAAAAGAAGCAAUUACACAAGGAAAUAAUUAAUGUUAUAACUGAUCAGCUUUAAAUGAUACGAAUGCCCGGUGUUCAGAUGGUGAGUCUUUAGCUGAAUGCUUAAAAUCAACUGUUUCCCCUAAUCCUCUAUUUCUCUCACGGUAGGGAGAAGCUGGACUCAUCACAAAAGCCAACAGGUUUUUUUAACUCCAUAGUAACCAGCCCUGGUGAUCCCUGUCCAAAUUCCUGGGCUAGACAAUACCAGUGCUUGUGCUUAAUGCCAUGCUUUAGCAACCAGGAAUAAAUCAGAAACCAGCUUUAGGAAAUUUGGUCUAUUGUUUAUUUGAACAGCCCUUAUUAUACGGAGAUGUUUCUGUUAGCAUUUACUUUCAUUAUUCUUUUGUUCUUUCACUUUCCUUUCCAUUCUCCCUCCACUCCCUAUUUUUUUUUCACUCUUCUUGUUUACUGCUUAUAACUUUCUCUAUAUUCCCUCCCCCAUUUGUAUUUCAAAUACUUUCAUAUACUUCAAGUUUAUAAAAAUUCUACAGAAUUCCACUCUGCUGAAAUGCUUGGCUUGAACCUGACACACACACAUGUAGUGUAUCACAGAGUGUGGCAGCCUACUUGAAUGAAAGGAGUUGUAGAUCUGUCUUCUUCCAAGUUAACAUGGGCUGCUUUGGAGAACAAUACUCCACAUAACUCCCAAACUGACAGCCAGGGGGUAAAGUGAAAGUGGGUCCUAAUUCUCUUUCCACUUUUUUUUUUUGGGGGGGGGGGCUGUAAGCAGGUAACAUCCACAGAAGACGAUUUGGAUACACAGAGAUGAAAACUGUAUAACACUGCAAAUCAUAGAAUCACAGCAUCAUAGAACCAUAGAACCAUAGGAUGCCUCUGGUUGGAAGGGACCUUAAAGAUCAUCCAGUUCCACAUCCAUAAUUAUAAAGGAAAAGUAUUUUCUUUCAGUUUUUUCAGUCUGAUGUUUUAUCUGAAUUGGAAAUUGCAUUUGAUUUCUGUCUUCUUUUCGAUUUUUUUUCUCCCUUUUCUAAGUCUUUACUGUGGCUGCAUCUGCUGGAACUGGGGGUGGAGAGAGGGAGAAGUGUGAUUUACGCUGGUGGAGCUUGCUGCUGAAUUCACUGGUGUUACUUGUGUGAGGUAAAGCUAAGCUUACAUAUAUGCCUCGUGGCUAGGACUGAGUAUGAGUAUCUGCCCCAAGAUCAGGAUUUUUCCAUUAACCAUUUAGGUCUGCUGAUAUUUUCUAUCAUUCUUCAGGUGUUUUUGUUUGUUUGUUUGUUUGUUUCUUCGUUUGCUUUUUUUUCUUUCUUUUUUUUUCCAAAGCAUAAAGCUCCUUUUUAUAUGAUGCUAACAAAUACAUUUCUAUCUAAUUAUCUAUAUUCAAUUUUUCUUUCAUCCUUUUGGUUUCUGCUGCUUCUCUGUUCAAGCAUUUGACUGCUUUCUCAGUUCUGUUCUUCAUUUUUGUUCUAUUUUGAAAUCCUCUUGUGUGGGUUUCAUUCUAAUUCUUCUUCUAACAGUUCACUCACAGAUCUUUUCUCUUCCCAGUGCAUGUCAUCUGUCUUUCUCAACAGGUAACAUACAUUCUCUGUCUCUGGCUUCCAGAUAUUAGCACAUUUAUUCUUGAUUUUCAAGUGACAAUAGAAGUGAUUAAUUUCAUGCAGUUACUUGUGAUCACCAAGUUGACAAAAAGGAGCCUUACAAGCAAGGACUGUCUCUGAAAACUCAUGCUUAACAUAAGAUUACCUCUUCUCUGCUGCAAUCCACCAGAUUAUUGAAGGAUGUUGCUGGGAGGAUGGAGAAAAGGAUAUGGAGAUAACUGUCACAAAAACAGAACAGUUCUUCCCGAAAUCAAGAACCAUAGAAUUGCUGUUGGUGGCACUGGCUCUUUCAUAACCAGUUACGUCUUAUGCAGAUCGCAAUGCCAGUCAUGGACCUUCAACAUGUCUUGGAUGUUCCAUACUAUGUCUAAAGAGACAUACUACUUGCAAAGAGGGUGGAGAGAGAGAACAUCCAGGGUGAAGUGAAAGAAGGCAGAAGGAGGUGUACCCAGGGCAUCCACAGCCAUUCCUACCUGAUUCUUCUAAUACAGAGGGCGAGAUGGCAGCUGGAUGUGGGAAUCUAAUAAAUGAUGGUGCCUCACCUUUCAAGCCCUGCAUUUGCUUCCUCUGUGGGUCUCUAUGAAUGGAGCAUGACUGACGCAAGUUCAGGAUGUUAGGCACCUGAGUUAGAAGAAAGCCAGCGAUGGAUCAAAAGCUCUUUCCACCAACUGAUGAACGAUUGGGUCCAAAGGCCCAGGACGGUGCUUGGUGGCAGGUACGAAAUACCUCAGCCCCAGUCAGUUGCUCUUACACCGCCCCUUCUGCUUCUGUGGCCAGGCUACCACAACAACAGAAAAGGGUAUUUUUUUAGCUGAAUCAGUUUCCUAGUCAGGCCCUAUGAUGGCCAUGCCCUGGAGCAUAGCAGAGUGCACAGUCCAAAGCAGGUGAUGCCUCUGUUUGCCCUAGCACAGUGCCACUGAAAGUUACUGGCCAACCCUAAGCACUUGUUAUUUCUCUCAGCUUGAGCUACUGUGUCUAAGCAGAUCAGUAGACAAAGGCUUUUUAUGUCUAGAUUAAUGAUAUAUCUAAAUAGUUACAAUGACAAGAAUAAAAAGUGGAAGAACAGUUUUCCUGUUCCCUAGGAUGAAGAAUACAGCAAAAUGUCAACUCUUCCUGGUAAAAUUGGCUGAACUUCAGCUUUUGACAGUAUUGCAGUCUAUUGUGGUAUGACUAUUUUACAUUCAUGGCCAGCAUGCAAAGUCUCUGAGCACAGAUUAGAUUUUCAUUAAUAUAGUUAUAUAUCUUUUGGCCACAGUGCAUCAAACCCCUGUUACUCACAAGGGAAUCAAAUAGAAGUUCAAUUUCAUUCUUAUUCUAAAGGUAGAGAUAUUAUUCAUUAGAAUAGUCUUAGUUCUGCUCUAUUUUUUUCCCUCCUGUAAAACAGGAACAAAGUGUAUUUUUAUUUUGAACUGACUUUUAUCUAACAAUUGUAAGUCUAUACAGAAAAGUUUACAAAACAUAUUCUGUGCAAAAGGUACUUCUAGUUAGGUUGGAGUUAACAUCAUUUAAAUAUCGAAAUGAAGUUAAUCUCUGCAAAGUUAAGGCCUAUUUUUAAGUAAUAAGAACAUGUGGACAUUUUCUUAUUUAUGGAACAAUUGAGCUAACCAUGCAAUUAACCCUCUGAAUUAAAAAAAAAAGAAAAGACAAUUGCUGAGAUGAAUGAGCAUUGAAAUGAAACGAUUGAAAUGAUGCUUAUUCUAUGAAAUUAGCCUUAAUCCUGUGCCAUUUGUGUUGGUGGAGAUGAAUAAAUUGUGAAUCAAAUUAAAAACAAUCCCACAGACCUCAGCCUUAUUCCCACCGAAAUUCUGAAGUUGGCAUGAGCAGAUUUGUGAAGUGAAAUCCUAAACACAUUAAGUUACUGCCACGUGUUACGAUUUUCUCCCUUACUCUCCUACUGUGGAUUUAGGAGAAUAAUGCUACACCAGUUCUCAAUAUAUUAUCUUCAUAAACAGAUGGGCUAGAUUUUUUUUUUAAUGAAAACUUGCAUUCUGAAGAAAACAGAAAAAUUUUAAGUGCUUAAAUUGAUGGGGUUUCUUACAUUCAUUUUGGUUUUGAUCACUACUAACCUAGUGAGUACAGCAAUAUCUCCCCGCCUAAAUAAUCUUAAUAAAAGAUCUAAAAAACAGUAGUUCUACUACGUAUACAAUUGGAAGAUUUUGCUGAGUAUUACAAUCAUGUCUCAUUUCAAUCAAGUGCCAUGUAUGCUCAUUUAGGUGUGUAACCUAAGUUCUUUCUCUGAAAGCUGUGUUGUGGCUGAUGGCUUUGCAAGAUAUACAUCGGGCCUAUUUACACAAGCCAUGGCCUUUACAUCCUUAAAGUGAAUGCUAUCAUAUAACAAACAAUGAAAUAAGAACUUUUUCAAGAGAUUGUAUUCAAAGGAUUGAUAAUGCAAUCAUAACUCCAUGCUCAUUCGAUUACAAUUGUCCAAAUGUCAGCCAGAAAGCUGUGGUUUUCUCUUUUUCUCAUAUAUUUCUGUUUUACACAGCUUCUAGAAAACCGCAUUAUUAGAGGGCCUCCCUUAAAUAAUACAUUAAAAUCAAAGAAUGUGUCUCUCCUGUAAGAACAUAAAACCAAGCCUCCUAGGUCAGAUCAAAGGACCUUAUCUUUGAGUAUUUUUCUUAGUAGUGAACAAGGCAAAUGGCUAACUUGAAUAAUCUUUUUCAGCCUCCUAUGAAUGGCUCACAGACUUCCUGAGCUACGGGUAGGAAGGUAUUCCCAUAGAUUCAUAUAUUCUUUUAUUUCUUUCUUCCUAAGAACGUUAAUUUAUUGAUUUAAUAGUAUUUUAUCUGUGGAUGUUUUGCCAGGGCAUUGAAAUGUGAAGGAGUCUGUCAAAAGAAACAAAGAAAUGAAAAUCAGUGUUUGUCUUCAUUUGGGGUUGCCAAUGCCCCCACUUUUGUCUCCCACAGUUCCACUGACAAAAUCUUGCUGCUUUGAAAGUCAUGUCUCCUCACACUGCUGGCUGGCACCUUCUAGGCUCCAGAGAAAUGCAGGUGUCUUGCAAGGUCUGCAGUGAAGGAAGACAGUUUCCUUCACCAGUAUAAGGCCCUUGAACUUGUCUCAGUGUUCAGUGGCAAGCCACUGAUGAGCAUGGAGCAUGGGGAGAGGUACUCAUGGCAACCUGUGUUGCUAGGCAGAUGGGUUAUUUAUUGUGUUUUGUUCCUGCCACAGUGUUCUCAGAGAUCCUGGCUCCAUUUCUAGAUAGAAUCAAUGGUAAUAAAGUCUGAAGGUUAAAAUAUAUGGAUCUCUAGGGCCAUUUCUGCUCCUGGGUGGGAUGGGGAACAGCAACCUUCCACUUGCAUAUAAAAGUGAGAGUUUUUUCCUGCUGCAACUCCUUGGGCAUAGUCCCAGGGGCUAAGCACUGUCAGUAGUUUCUUGCCAUUGAGGAAUAUUGCUGAAAAAUGCACGUUCAGCCACAUUUCCCCAAAUGCAACUUUCCAGAAACUGGACAGGAGCAUCUAACGAUCCACGGGAUCAUAGCUGUGUGUAAGCAGCAAGUGGUAUUUGCCAGGACAGUUGAUGAUGAUGCCAUCCAGUGGAAUGAAAAUGAUUUCAGAUGCUGCCAUUGCAAGCAGAUUUUGAACCUACAUUUCCCUUCCUUCCAAGUUUUACUUACAGACUUAGCAAAAAAUGGAGCUUACUACCUCUAAAACAACAAUUUACCCUUG
Gallus gallus (chicken) is the source of this 7030-nucleotide long non-coding RNA. RefSeq lists it as uncharacterized. The record is from RefSeq and is a predicted model, not a curated record. The transcript is spliced from 4 exons. Lineage: Eukaryota; Metazoa; Chordata; Aves; Galliformes; Phasianidae.